UAAAAGGGCAUCUGCUGUGAUUGGCAUAAUUGUGGCAGGGAAUUUCUAACACAAUAUAUUUGUAUUUUUCUUUAUCUUUUUUAUCCCCUUUUCUCCCAAUUUGGAAUGCCCAAUUCCCACUACUUAGUAGGUCCUCAUGGUGGCGCGGUUACUCACCUCAAUCUUGGUGGCGGAGGACAAAUUUCUAACACAAUUACAGAGUCGCUAUCAGGAGAUUUCGUACGCACAAUUUUUAUAGGCCA
Molecule: small nuclear RNA, 242 nt
Organism: Myxocyprinus asiaticus (Chinese sucker)
Lineage: Eukaryota; Metazoa; Chordata; Actinopteri; Cypriniformes; Catostomidae
Product: U11 spliceosomal RNA
Exons: 1
Source: RefSeq, a predicted model, not a curated record